RNAcentral lists this small RNA (1024 nucleotides) under Pongo abelii (Sumatran orangutan). RNAcentral's name for it is "retained intron". The record is from RNAcentral. Lineage: Eukaryota; Metazoa; Chordata; Mammalia; Primates; Hominidae.
CAAGCUCACAAGAGAAAGAAAUCCCUAAGGCAUGUAGAAUUUGGACUCAAUCAUGUUGGCCUUUAACGUGGCUAGAGCAAUGGAAUGGGCACUUUGGGAGCGGUGGAAUUCAAGAUGCUCUGGCUGAAGAUUCAGAAGUAUCUGGUAACUCUUCUCUUCCUUCUGGGCAUCCUCUCCUCUGUUCUAAUCCUCCCUUACACUCAUUCCUGGUCCAUUGUAGUCUGACCACAUCCUUAAUCAUGGUCAAAACUAUUGAGACCUGGGCACAUUGGUCACAAAGGAACAAGAAGGCAAUGAGAGACUCUCAUGCCAACCACUGCCCUGAAAGCCCUGCUGUUCAGACAGCAAAGGGGCCAGCACUGGCCAAGCUCUUAUGCUUGCUCUGAAACCUUCUUGGGAGGAGUCAAUAGGGUCUCUUUUUGAAUGUGUCCCUGGCCUUUUGAGGAAGUAGUGCAGUGGAGGGAGAUGGUUCUGGCAGGGGCCGUGAAUGGUUGUUUUCUACUUGGGAUUUCUUUCCUGCUUCAGGAGAUCUAUCAGGAAAUUGAUUAUAACCACUCGGGCACCAUCGAUGCCCACGAGAUGAGGACAGCCCUCAGGAAGGCAGGUUUCACCCUCAACAGCCAGGUGCAGCAGACCAUUGCCCUGCGGUAUGCGUGCAGCAAGCUCGGCAUCAACUUUGACAGCUUCGUGGCUUGUAUGAUCCGCCUGGAGACCCUCUUCAAACUAUUCAGCCUUCUGGACAAAGACAAGGAUGGCAUGGUGCAGCUCUCUCUGGCUGAGUGGCUGUGCUGCGUGUUGGUCUGACCCGGGGUUUCGGACAUCAGUGACACUCCCUGCCCCACUGCUUGCCUCUUGUCACCCCUUCUCUACAAUUUUGUGAACAUUUAUGCUCCAGUGGCAUUCACUGGUUGUUCAUACCUUUCUUGCCCUGGGUCUCUUUCAGCAGCACUGAGCUAUGAGCUAUAUAAGCCGACCCGGUGGGCCCAGUGGAGGGAAAGCAAUCAAUUAAAGUUGUGAGCCAGAA